GAAUAGAGGCGCGUUGGGCAAUCAGUAGGCUGCGGGAGAUACCGGAUCGAUGACCGCAGCGGAAAGGGGCCGACGCCGAAGGGGAUUGACCGCCGGACGGGAAAUGCCCUGGCUUCACAGUGAAAAACUGUGUGGCUGUCAUCAUACAUAUGAUGGAGCGCUAUU
This 165-nucleotide non-coding RNA is filed under the name human gut metagenome. RNAcentral describes it as "Lysine riboswitch". It matches the Rfam family "Lysine riboswitch aptamer". From Rfam's summary of the family: Riboswitches are metabolite binding domains within certain messenger RNAs that serve as precision sensors for their corresponding targets. Allosteric rearrangement of mRNA structure is mediated by ligand binding, and this results in modulation of gene expression. This family includes riboswitches that sense lysine in a number of genes involved in lysine metabolism, including lysC. The record is from RNAcentral.